GUGGAUUAGAUACCCUGGUAGUCCACGCCGUAAACGAUGGGUACUAGGUGUAGGGGGUAUCGACUCCCCCUGUGCCGCCGUUAACACAAUAAGUACCCCGCCUGGGGAGUACGGUCGCAAGAUUAAAACUCAAAGGAAUUGACGGGGGCCCGCACAAGCAGCGGAGCAUGUGGUUUAAUUCGAAGCAACGCGAAGAACCUUACCUAGACUUGACAUCUCCUGAAUUACCCUUAAUCGGGGAAGCCCUUCGGGGCAGGAAGACAGGUGGUGCAUGGCCGUCGCCAGCU
Molecule: ribosomal RNA, 287 nt
Filed under: uncultured bacterium
Lineage: Bacteria
Description: partial 16S ribosomal RNA
Rfam family: Bacterial small subunit ribosomal RNA
Source: RNAcentral